Molecule: ribosomal RNA, 449 nt
Filed under: uncultured bacterium
Lineage: Bacteria
Description: bacterial SSU rRNA
Rfam family: Bacterial small subunit ribosomal RNA
Source: RNAcentral
UGAGGAAUCUUGCACAAUGGGCGAAAGCCUGAUGCAGCGACGCCGCGUGGAGGAUGAAGGUUUUAGGAUUGUAAACUCCUGUUAAGUGGGAAGAAAAGCUCAUCCCUAAUAUGGAUGAGUAAUGACGGUACCAUUAGAGAAAGCACCGGCUAACUUCGUGCCAGCAGCCGCGGUAAUACGAGGGGUGCGAGCGUUAUUCGGAAUUAUUGGGCGUACAGGGUGCGUAGACGGUAUAUUAAGUCAACUGUUAAAUUCCCCGGCCUAACCGGGGUCCAGCAGUAGAUACUGAUGUGCUAGAGGGUGGAAGAGAGAAGUGGAGUUCUCGGAGUAGCGGUAAAAUGCGUAGAUCUCGAGAGGAACACCGAUGGCGAAGGCAGCUUCUUGGUCCACUCCUGACGUUGAGGCACGAAAGCGUGGGGAGCAAACAGGAUUAGAUACCCGUGUAGUCC